RNAcentral lists this ribosomal RNA (433 nucleotides) under uncultured bacterium. RNAcentral describes it as "partial 16S ribosomal RNA". It matches the Rfam family "Bacterial small subunit ribosomal RNA", at positions 29 to 507 of the family's 1533-position model. The record is from RNAcentral.
AAUGAACGCUGGCGGCAUGCCUAACACAUGCAAGUCGAACGGGACCUUCGGGGUUAGUGGCGGACGGGUGCGUAACGCGUGGGAAACUGCCUUUGGGUUCGGAACAACUCCUGGAAAGGGGUGCUAAUACCGGAUAUUGUCUUCGGUACAAAGAUUGAUCGCAGUUGGUGGGGCCGGGGUUGGAUUGCUUAGUUGUGAGGGUAAGAGCCUACGAAGGCGAGGAUCGAUAGCUGGGUUGAGAGGAGGCGCAGCCACACUGGUGGUGGGCAACGGCCCAGACUCCUAGGGGAGGCAGCAGUGGGGAAUACUGGACAGGCGGCGGAAGCAUGAAGCAGCACUGCCGGGUGAGUGAUGAAGGUUGGGGGGUAGUACAGCUCUUUUACCCGGGAUGAUAAUGACGGUACCGAGAGAAUAAGCACCGGCUAACUCCGUG